Molecule: non-coding RNA, 26 nt
Filed under: Mus musculus (house mouse)
Lineage: Eukaryota; Metazoa; Chordata; Mammalia; Rodentia; Muridae
Source: RNAcentral
AUUCUUCUCAAUAGCUUUAUUGCAGG